UAAUACGUAGGGGGCAAGCGUUGUCCGGAAUUAUUGGGCGUAAAGCGCGCGCAGGCGGUUUCUUAAGUCUGGUGUCUAAGUGCGGAGCUCAACCCCGUGACGCACUGGAAACUGGGAGACUUGAGUGCAGAAGAGGAGAGCGGAAUUCCACGUGUAGCGGUGAAAUGCGUAGAGAUGUGGAGGAACACCAGUGGCGAAGGCGGCUCUCUGGACUGUAACUGACGCUGAGGCGCGAAAGCGUGGGGAGCAAACAGGAUUAGAUACCCUGGUAGUCCACGCCGUAAACGAUGAGUGCUAGGUGUUGGGGGGGUCCACCCCUCGGUGCCGAAGUCAACACAUUAAGCACUCCGCCUGGGGAGUACGGUCGCAAGACUGAA
This 377-nucleotide ribosomal RNA is filed under the name uncultured bacterium. Its description in RNAcentral is "bacterial SSU rRNA". It matches the Rfam family "Bacterial small subunit ribosomal RNA", at positions 521 to 898 of the family's 1533-position model. The record is from RNAcentral.